AAGAAACGAAGGUAAGGGGGGAGUUUGCUUACAAAGUGGAAUCGUGAAAGGCUCCGAGGAUUGUCAUGAAUUUAAGGGAAGAAAGGGAGAUUGGGAAGCGAGUUUCAUGGCCAUCGUUAAUGAGUUCGUUGAAACAGGCAUACAGUGUGUUAAGUACUUCCAUUAACUGCAAACAUUAAUUGCACUCUUUAGGCUUUAGCUUAAAAUCUUUCACGGGAACUUUGACACUUUCUUUUUUUUCGCAGAAUUUGUUCCGACCAAUCAACAAUUCCAAACUGGAAAGUUGUGGGUUAUUAUUACGCUGUACUGUGUAGUGAAAGAGAGGGUGGAGGUUGUAUAAAAAAUAAAAAAUAAAAGUGGGUGGAGGUGCCUUGCUGUAAAUGUAAU
Molecule: long non-coding RNA, 387 nt
Filed under: Gossypium barbadense (sea-island cotton)
Lineage: Eukaryota; Viridiplantae; Streptophyta; Magnoliopsida; Malvales; Malvaceae
Description: long non-coding RNA (GBAR_LNC006229)
Source: RNAcentral